GCGGCGAAGAAACGACCCGCGAAGGGUUGCCAGAGGACGAGCCUGCCGGCCCAUCAGCUAGUUGGCGAGGUAACGGCUCACCAAGGCGAAGACGGGUAGCUGGUCUGAGAGGAUGAUCAGCCACACUGGAACUGAGACACGGUCCAGACUCCUACGGGAGGCAGCAGGUGGGGAAUAUUGCGCAAUGGGCGAAAGCCUGACGCAGCCACGCCGUGUGAGCGAUGAAGGCCUUCGGGUCGUAAAGCUCUGUGGGGAGAGAAGAAUAAAGCCUGUGAAGAGCAGGCCUUGACGGUAUCUCCUUAGCAAGCACCGGCUAACUCCGUG
Molecule: ribosomal RNA, 324 nt
Filed under: uncultured bacterium
Lineage: Bacteria
Description: bacterial SSU rRNA
Rfam family: Bacterial small subunit ribosomal RNA
Source: RNAcentral